Seriola aureovittata is the source of this 1273-nucleotide long non-coding RNA. RefSeq lists it as uncharacterized. The record is from RefSeq and is a predicted model, not a curated record. Lineage: Eukaryota; Metazoa; Chordata; Actinopteri; Carangiformes; Carangidae. The transcript has 3 exons.
CAAACGCGUAAACACGGUUACCGGUCAGAAACAUUGAACAUAUGUGAUACGAGCAGUGCCUUCGUAGACCCAAUUUUAGAUUUCACUUCAAUUCAAUUUUAUUUCGGUCUUUGUUAAUAUUUUUAAAUAAGUAAAUAUAGCUUAUUACAAAUACCCUCUCCACAUAACGUUAAAUAAAACGACAACCCUCUCACUACAGGCCAAUGUAUGGUCAGCAAAAUAGGAGCGAAAAUAAAACAGACUGAAACUUUGAUUACGAUGAUUAUAUGUCAUUAGUUGCUUGUCGUGUCGUGUCGUCUCUCCUAUAGCGAUGGGUCAGUGAUGUCAUGCCUGUAGUAGCUACUGUGACGCACGGGGAAGUAGUUACACACAGUCAACAAUUUCAAAGUACAAAAAAUCUCAAAGACACAGCAGAUAAUCCACCAUGGGCAUGCUUGAACUGUUACUGGCUGUGCUAUUGGCUGGCCUGACAUUCUUCUUCACAAAGCCCAGGUGGCUGAUGGAGUUCUUGAGGGCAUCAUGAAACAUGGAGCUGGAGAAACAGUAGAUGACAGGGUCCAAAGAGCUGUUGAGAUUCAUCUUACUUCACCUUGAUUUAUAUCAGCAGCACGUCAGCUCUUCUACAAUAUCUCAUCUCAUCCCGUUUCAUCUCACCUUGGCUUAUCACACCAAGUGAUGGCCGCACCAGCAGCCACACCUUGAACAGAGGAACGGUGGUAACUCUUUGAUCUGUUUAUUUACUUAAAGAGUCUUUCUUUCUUAGUGUGACACUUAAAAUUCACAUAUAAAAAAUAUAAAUAAUUACGCAGAGGUUUUGGUUUGAUAAAACAUACAGUUUUAUUAGCAACAUUUGACAGUAUAGUUAUCUAUUUGAAGUGAACACAUUUAGUUAGCUAUAUAAGUUUCAUACAUUUAAGUUGUUUUUCAUGAAAUUAAUUAAGCUUUCUUUGACUUACCAGUUCCUGGGGUUUGCUGCUGGAGUUGGAACUCAAAGGGAGUCCCAGCUCCAUUAGGCCUGCUUAAAUAGUGGUGACUGCAACCUCAGUUAACAUGGUGUAGCACUAUACUGACAUGUUUUGUGGUUAUUGUGGUUUGUUUAAAUGGUUAUGUUUUAGUCUACCCCCUUAUGUGUCUGAAUGGCCUGAUCAGCCACUACAUAUGUCUCCCCUGUGUUUCAGUCAGGAAGGUCAGUUUGUGCUGUUAAGUUCACUUCUGUUAGUACUUGACUUUAGUUCUGUUGCAUUGACUUCUUGGCUUUUUUUAAAUAAAAAAU